RNAcentral lists this long non-coding RNA (403 nucleotides) under Gallus gallus (chicken). RNAcentral describes it as "long non-coding RNA NONGGAT001041". Lineage: Eukaryota; Metazoa; Chordata; Aves; Galliformes; Phasianidae. The record is from RNAcentral.
GUGAUACAGGAGGCACGGUGACAAAACAGAUCUCCAAUAGCAUGCAAGCAGCACAGCUGGAGGGCUGCAGCCAAGAACUGCCGCAUCACGAUGAAUAUGGUACUUACCCUUGACUGCUUCUGAGGAGUCAGGCUCAAAAAAUUUCCUCUCGGGAGGCUGUGUCGGUAGGUGGAGAGUAAGUGCUUUGUGAGCUCCAGAGCCCCAGGGAAGAUUGGAGUGCGGGUUCUGCAGAGCUGCGCCCUUCAUUAUGCAGUUCUGGUUCCAAAAAGGGACUGCUUCUGCUUCGAAAGGAAGCUUCUAAAGGUAACUCUUGUGGAAAAAAAAGCAGGUCUGCAAAGUGAAUGAGAGAGGGGUCAGUGCUUUUGCCCUGAGAAAAAUCAGUGUGCUUCUAGUUAUCAAGUUU